Molecule: long non-coding RNA, 450 nt
Filed under: Elaeis guineensis (African oil palm)
Lineage: Eukaryota; Viridiplantae; Streptophyta; Magnoliopsida; Arecales; Arecaceae
Description: long non-coding RNA (EGUI_LNC062996)
Source: RNAcentral
GUUCUGAUUGAUCAAAAUGGUUUAGCUUGAUUUGACCUAAAUCGGCUAGAUUGUGUUCUAACCAAAUUAGUUUAAAUUGCACCUGGACUCACUGCUGGCUAGAUGUGGAACCCAAUGGGUCACACACAAAGGGAAUUGAUCAUGGGUUUAAUUUGAUUAAAUUAUGUUUGCAAGUUGAACAUGCUAGCACAUGUUGCAAACCCUAGCAUUUAGAUUCGAAUCGAAUUCGAAUCGGGUUUCGAUUUGGGCUAAUUUAGAACCAAUUUGAGCCAAAUUGGAUUUGGUCUUGAAGUGGGUUUGAAAUGUUUUAAUUGGGCUUGCUGUUGGGUGCCAAAAACCAGGGAACCACAUGCCUAAGAGUCUCUCUCUUGGCGUGUGGAUUUAAAUCCAUGCGCAUGAGCCACAUGGCGCAUGGAUGGAGUUGGCGCCACCUUUAGAUAAGGUCUAUCC